AAGUCGUAACAAGGUUUCCGUAGGUGAACCUGCGGAAGGAUCAACCCCCCUGUGAACUUUUAUACUUGCUCUCGUCUACCGAAAUUGGAAUCCCUGGUAAAUCAUUGUUGAACAGAUUUUGAUUCAGGGACCUCAGUUUGGUAGUUUCGAUCGAGCGAUCGUUGCAAGUAGCCUGGUUUCCCCAAGCAGUCAGUGUCUGAUUGUGUAAGGAUAACGCUUUUCGAUCACUAGAGGCCGACACCGGCCCUACCAACUUUCGCCUCGUAGGAAACUGCUGGCAACAAAACGAACAACUGUUAACAAUGGAUAUCUUGGUUCUC
RNAcentral lists this unclassified non-coding RNA (320 nucleotides) under fungal sp. Its description in RNAcentral is "partial internal transcribed spacer region". The stretch from base 1 to 46 matches the Rfam family "Eukaryotic small subunit ribosomal RNA", at positions 1786 to 1831 of the family's 1831-position model. The record is from RNAcentral. Lineage: Eukaryota; Fungi.